Triticum dicoccoides is the source of this 2228-nucleotide RNA transcript. It is a transcript of the gene named 65-kDa microtubule-associated protein 1-like, with no coding region annotated. The transcript has 4 exons. Lineage: Eukaryota; Viridiplantae; Streptophyta; Magnoliopsida; Poales; Poaceae. The record is from RefSeq and is a predicted model, not a curated record.
CGGCGACCCCGCUGCCGCCACCUCCAGCCCGCCCCGCCCCGCGCCGCCCGCCCCUGCCGCCGCGGCCACCUCCAGCCAGCCCCGCGGCGGGCUCUCCCUCACCUCUCUAUCCCAGCCGCCAGGAGGCGACCGACCCCGGCGAUGCUCCAUCCGGUGCCGGGACGCCCGCCGGUCGGCGCCGGCGAGCACAGCACCAGGAACCACCGUUAAGCCUCAGAUCCCCCUCUCCUCCACGCUCCCGAGCUCGUCACUGUGCGCCGCCCGGGAGGGCUCGCGUUCGAUGCAGAAAGGCAGCGGACGGAGCUUGCAGGGCCCGGAUCCGUACGUGGCGAUUUUGGGGAGGAGGAGGGGUGUCGCUGGUGACGCGGAGGAAGGCCGGAGCGCGCUUCCCGCUCGGCUCCAUGGCGGCUCCUGGACAGAAAUCCAUGGCGGCUCCUGGACAGAAAGGAGAUAGGGAGGUGAGGGAGAAAGGGACAGUGAUGAGCUCCAGACAGAAAAGAAUCUCAUACUGCAAAAGAUUGAUGGUCAGAUCAAGUGUAUUAAUGAAAUGUGCAACAUGAUGUCUCUUGAUCUUAAGAAGACAUUAUAUGAAGUUCAUCCCAGCUUUGUUGAAUUGGAAAGAAUCAAAUCCAUGAGUGUAAGUGAUAGCACACUUGAUAGGCUUGCAGGAAAAGUUCAUGCACUAAAUCAAGAAAAGAAACAGAGGCUCCGGAAGGUCCUGGUGUUUGCUGUUCAUGUUAGUCAUUUAACAAAAGUAUAGCUACAAGAUCUUGGAGGCACACUCAUUGAGUUAUGGAGUCUAACGGACACACCAUUAGAUGAACAGAAAUGCUUUGAUCAUGUUACUUCUUUGAUUUCAGUCUCACAAAAUAUAGUGAUACCUCAAGGAUGCCUUGCACAUGACCUUAUUAAGAAGGUAGAGGUUGAGGUCAAGAGACUGAAGCAUUCGAAAGCUAGCAAAAUGAAAGAGCUUGUCUUAAAGAAAAUGAUUGACCUUGAAGAAAUCUACAGAAGUGUUCACAUGUAUAUUGACAGCGAUCAUGAGUGGUAGAUUCUCACUGAACUUAUUGAUUCUGGUUCACUUCUUUCCCAUGAUUUUCAUCCUGAAGAUAGAUAACUAAAGUUAUUAUAUACAGUUUUGUUUCCAUUAAGAACUACACGAUGCAUGAUUUGACUGGUGCUCCUUGGUUAUAUAACGUUGUUGUUUCUGUCUCAUCUUAAAAUUCUGUGAAUUUCUUAGUCAAAUGCAAUGGUAGGUUCUGCAACUGUCUUUCAACUUUGUGCCUUCUAAGUAUCAGCUUGACUAUUUAGGCAGAUCAAUUUGGAUAAAAAAUUGAAUAAGCUCUUAUGGAAACUAAAAUGAAAAAAUAUUACAAGUCAUUGCGUCUCUCCUUUAGAGGACGAUUGCGCAUUCAUGCUCUAGGAUUUUUUUACUGAGCUCAAGGUUGUGAACUAUUUAUUUCCAUUUCUUUGGUAGUGAUAUUUGGUUAAACUGGAGAUCCUAGCUAUAGAACAUCAGCGGUGUAAAGUAUAUGUAUUGCUGCUCAGAGGUUCUGUAGAUACAUCUUUACUGAUUUUUCAUCUUUAUCAUGUAUGCUUCAAUUCUUGCAUGCCAAAUAAACAUAAGUUCAUGUUUUAUUGUUUAGUUGUCUCAUGUUCGCUCUUCAUUAUUCUAUAUCAAAGUGAUGUCGUUCAAUGCGUUUGUCCCUUGCUGAUGUAGAAAUUGAUUUCCAUGAAGCAUGCCCUCAAGGUGCAACAAUAUCAUUCUUCCUGGUGUUGCAUUAAAUAUACCUCUUAUUUGUUAAAAAAAUCCUUUGGAUUUGGGAUUAGUAUAUUAGGUAGACAUCUUUUGGUUAACAACAGAUUUGAGUGCAGGGUAGAAUUCUUGGUUGAUUCUAGAAUUUCAUUGUAGAUUAGCUGGCAGAUUAGAACGUCUUUGGCAAGUUCUUUGUUGGUUAGGUCAAGCUCCCUUAGCACUGGACCCAGCAGACGCGUGUGCGUGUGCAGAUCUCACAUGCAUCUACUGCACCACUUGUUGUUGGAUGGCAGUGUGGUAUCCAAGCGUGUGGAAGGCCUAUCCGCCACCAUGGGGGCGCAACUCAGCUCCGAGGAGAACAGUUCCAAGGCCCAACUAACAGGCUACCACAAUUCCCCUAGACCACUCGCGGACUGUAAUUGAAUUGCUUUAUUGAUCUAUCUAUCAAUUAAUCAUAGGCUACAAUUAACCA